This 852-nucleotide long non-coding RNA is filed under the name Rattus norvegicus (Norway rat). RNAcentral describes it as "long non-coding RNA NONRATT003778". Lineage: Eukaryota; Metazoa; Chordata; Mammalia; Rodentia; Muridae. The record is from RNAcentral.
CAGCACCAAGUCUGCCUGGAUGCCACCAUGCUUCUUGCCAUGAUACUAAACAAGUUUUCAGUGGGAAUGAUGUCUCUUCACAGCCAUAAAACCCCAGCUAAGACCCUAAGCAAGUCACAUUUGCCUACAAGACAAUGCCUGCAUCAGACCACAUUGAAUCCUACACUUAGAGCCCCACCCCCUUGGCCUGGAACAGCAGGUCCCUUCACCAGCAGCCCGGUUCCCCUUUGGAGAAAAAGAGCUUCGGCCUAUCACUGCCACCCUGGUAUACACUUGAGUACACACUACUCAAGAAAGCUCCAAAUAUAUAUUAUAAUUAUAAUUAUAAAUGCUUAAAUCGUGGUGUGUAACACACCCACACAAGACAGCACAGCCUUUGAGUUAAGGCUGCCAUUGCUCAGGCCACUGUCAGGCAUGGAGGAGGGAUUGCCCAACCCUCGGUGCCCGAUUACUUCAUCUGUAAAGUUAUUUCAUGCUGCAAGCAGAUGGUGUUUGCUUAUUAAAUACUGAGAACCAUUUUAGAGGCCAAGGCCGUGAGAUAUGUGUGGUUCGGGGAAGGGGAUGUUUACUGUGUUAGGCCCUGUGGCGAGAAAUUGUAUUUACUGCUCCAGUUGACGGUGUUCUUAGCUCUGAUCCACCAAUAGGGACAGGAGUUCAGAGUGUCGAAGCAGUUGACCUUGUUCCAGGAGCUGCUAGAGACUCAGGAGAGCACAGAUGAAGCUGAUUCCUCAUCCACAGUCCAGUACUUUUACAUAAUUCUCAUGUUCUGUUUACAGAUACUCUAUCAGGGACCCAGAAAAGUGACCCAGAGUCUGUGUCACACUGGAAUCAAAACCCGUGUUCUGACAGCCC